RNAcentral lists this ribosomal RNA (492 nucleotides) under uncultured Actinomycetes bacterium. RNAcentral's name for it is "bacterial SSU rRNA". It matches the Rfam family "Bacterial small subunit ribosomal RNA", at positions 355 to 857 of the family's 1533-position model. Lineage: Bacteria; Bacillati; Actinomycetota; Actinomycetes. The record is from RNAcentral.
UGGGGAAUAUUGCACAAUGGGCGGAAGCCUGAUGCAGCGACGCCGCGUGAGGGAUGACGGCCUUCGGGUUGUAAACCUCUUUCAGCAGGGAAGAAGCGUGAGUGACGGUACCUGCAGAAGAAGCACCGGCUAACUACGUGCCAGCAGCCGCGGUAAUACGUAGGGUGCGAGCGUUGUCCGGAAUUAUUGGGCGUAAAGAGCUCGUAGGCGGCUUGUUGCGUCGGAUGUGAAAGCCCGGGGCUUAACUCCGGGUCUGCAUUCGAUACGGGCAGGCUAGAGUUCGGUAGGGGAGAUCGGAAUUCCUGGUGUAGCGGUGAAAUGCGCAGAUAUCAGGAGGAACACCGGUGGCGAAGGCGGAUCUCUGGGCCGAUACUGACGCUGAGGAGCGAAAGCGUGGGGAGCGAACAGGAUUAGAUACCCUGGUAGUCCACGCCGUAAACGUUGGGAACUAGGUGUGGGCGGCAUUCCACGUCGUCCGUGCCGCAGCUAACG